RNAcentral lists this ribosomal RNA (271 nucleotides) under Astrosyne radiata. Its description in RNAcentral is "partial Bacterial large subunit ribosomal RNA". It matches the Rfam family "Bacterial large subunit ribosomal RNA", at positions 2631 to 2913 of the family's 2925-position model. Lineage: Eukaryota; Bacillariophyta; Fragilariophyceae; Cyclophorales; Cyclophoraceae. The record is from RNAcentral.
UCGGUCCCUAUCUGCCGUGGGUGUCGGAAAAUUGAGAGGAGCUGCCCCUAGUACGAGAGGACCGGGGUGGACGUAUCUCUGGUGGACCUGUUGUUGCGCCAGCAGCAUAGCAGGGUAGCUAUAUACGGAAGGGAUAACCGCUGAAUGCAUCUAAGCGGGAAGCCCCCCUCAAAACCAGUUUUCCCUUGAGAGUCGUGGAAGACCACCACGUUGAUAGGCCAGAUGUGGAAGUGCGGUGACGCAUGAAGCUGACUGGUACUAAUUACUCGGA